UGGAACCUGCCAGCUUUGUCCGUGGUGACUCAGGCCCUUGGGCCCCCCACCUGCCAGCAGCCCGAGGAUAAGGAGCAGCCCUGCCCCGCCCUGCCCCGGCCUCCCACCCCUGACUUCGCCUGAUAACAAACCAGAAACUGAAACAGAGACAGGAUUCCCGGCUUGAAGUCAGAGAUGAGUCACAGCUGAGAGCAAGUGUGGUAGCUGAGAAGUGGCACCAGAGAAGCAGACGUGAGCCGAGGGCACCAGAGGUGGGCAGCACGUCUGCGGGUCCUGGUGACACAUGGAGAGCGGCACCGAGGUGGUGGCCAUGGACUGCGAGAUGGUGGGGCUGGGGCCCCUAGGGGAGAGCGGCUUGGCUCGUUGCAGCCUCGUGGACCUCCACGGCACCGUGCUCUACGACAAGUUCAUCCGGCCGGAAGGGGAGAUCACUGAUUACAGGACCCCGAUCAGUGGGAUCACACCUUGGCACAUGCAGGAGGCCACGCCAUUUGCCGUGGCCAGGCUGGAGAGUGGCCCCAAUGAUCCUGUGGUCGCCAAGGGAGAGCAUACCAAUGUCCCCCAUGAUGUCUCAGAAGGCCACCAGAAACAGAAGCAGGGCACGGGAGGGUGUCAGCCAGGUGGCAGUCUCCUUCCCCAGGCACAGAAGACAGGCCAGAAGCUAUGGGAGAGCUGUCCAGAGGGGGGCCUGAGCCCCAAGAUGCCCCUCCAGCUGGGGCCCGACACAGCUCCGCCCCAGAGCCCCCGUCCAUCCUUCUCCAGUGACAGCCCAGAUCCUGCGGCUCCUGAAGGGCAAGCUGGUGGUGGGCCACGACCUGAAGCACGACUUCCAGGCGCUGAAGGAGAACAUGAACGACUACUCCGUUCAUGACACGUCGGUGGACAGGCUGCUGUGGCGGGAGGCCGGCCUGCAGGACUGCGAGCGCGUCUCCCUCCGCGUGCUCAGCGAGCGCCUCCUCGGCCGGCGCAUCCAGCCUUGAGAGGCCGUGUGCUUGCCAGCGAGGAGGGGCGCUGGCCUCGGGGUUCCCCAGCAGCCGGCCCUGGACGAGGACCCGAGCGCAGGUUCAUUCCAGAGGUGACCCCGGGACGUGCUGGUGGAGCCCAGCGCCCAAUAUAGGUCUUGUUUGUUUUUAAACUCCAGCCAGUUACUCUGUGGAUAACUGAAGUUUUUUUCUUUAAUGUUGAUUUAUGUUUGAGAGAGAGCCAGUGUGAGCGGGGAAGGGGCAGAGAGAGAGGGGGGUAAGGGACAGAGGAU
Molecule: RNA transcript, 1255 nt
Organism: Leopardus geoffroyi (Geoffroy's cat)
Lineage: Eukaryota; Metazoa; Chordata; Mammalia; Carnivora; Felidae
Gene: ISG20
Gene name: interferon stimulated exonuclease gene 20
Exons: 5
Source: RefSeq, a predicted model, not a curated record